Molecule: ribosomal RNA, 267 nt
Filed under: uncultured bacterium
Lineage: Bacteria
Description: partial 16S ribosomal RNA
Rfam family: Bacterial small subunit ribosomal RNA
Source: RNAcentral
GAUCCUGGCUCAGGAUGAACGCUAGCUACAGGCUUAACACAUGCAAGUCGAGGGGCAGCAUGACCUAGCAGUAGGUUGAUGGCGACCGGCGCACGGGUGAGUAACACGUACCCAACCUACCGGUUAUUCCGGGAUAGCCUUUCGAAAGAAAGAUUAAUACCGGAUAGUAUAACGAGAAGGCGUCUUUUUGUUAUUAAAGAAUUUCGAUAACCGAUGGGGAUGCGUUCCAUUAGUUUGUUGGCGGGGUAACGGCCCACCAAGACAUCG